RNAcentral lists this ribosomal RNA (1065 nucleotides) under Triticum aestivum (bread wheat). Its description in RNAcentral is "partial small subunit ribosomal RNA". The record is from RNAcentral. Lineage: Eukaryota; Viridiplantae; Streptophyta; Magnoliopsida; Poales; Poaceae.
AUGCGCGCGGCCGGCUUCUGGAGCUCCCAGUCCCAGGUCAGGGCCACCAUGGUAGGCGCCGCCGACUCGUGGGAGCAGCCGAUUAGGGCAAGUUGCGACGUCCCGAAACUCCAGCCAUCGGUCGUCGCCCACGUCGUCCCGGACGGAAGUGAAUGUCAAGCUAGCAAAGCAAAAUCAGGAACAGCGCAGCCGGCUUUCUUAUGCGGCACCGAGGUGAUCCUGCCUCCCUGGCUCCACCGCUACAAAUGUACAAAAUACACCAGUACAACGUACUGCGGCGCCAGUCUUGAAGCAAACUCUGCUUCCUGCCGUCCGAAGUUCACGGAGCUCACCGCGCAAAAUCUCAAGAUCCUGUGUGGCGCGCUCGAGCUGCGCGUUCCACGGCACGCGAACAUCAUUCCCGGCAUAUCGAGCACAGUGCUUCGAUGCCGGUCCGGCGUGACAAGGCGGAGGGCGGGCGUAUGGCCGACGACCUGGCUGCUCUUCCGAGGAAGGGACGGUGGGGGCAAGACGGCGGUUGCUCGCGAGCUCGCGAGGCUCGUGUUUGGCUCCUACGCCGAGUUCACCACCUUGCAGGUUCAGGGUAACCCCGACAUCCCCGCACAAACCGGCAAACUUGCCCUCAAGAGGCAGAGAUCACCGGACAUCGACGGCCAGGGCAAUGGUGGUGACGUCAGGGCGAGGCUGUUUGAAGCGAUUGUGGAGAACCCUCACCGCGUCAUAUUGAUCGAUGGCGUCAACCGACUGGAUGGCGAUUCGGAAAUGCGCAUCAAGAAUGCUAUCGCGGGAGGAACAAUAGUGAGGGGAUACAACGAUGACAUGGUUGGUUUGGAGGAUGCCAUCGUGGUGCUGAGCUCCGACGUGUGUGACUCGAGGUCUGUGGCUUCCGCUUCCUCCCAACGGGUGAAGCGACGACGUAACAACGCGGACAUGGAAGUGAGACCACGUCGUGGUCUUUGCUGGGAUCUGAACAUUUGUGCAGUGGACGGGGAAGAGGAGGAAAACAGUUUGGCUCAUGAUGAGGGGGUCAUAAGUGUGGUCGAUGGUGUUUUCCUUUUCAAUUAG